UACGUACUCCCUCCGUCCAGAAAUACUUGUCAUCAAAAUAGAUAAAAAAGAUGUAUCUAGAUGUAUUUUAAUUUUAAAUACAUAUUUUUUAUCCAUUUUAAUGACAAAUAUUUUCAAACGAGGGAAUAUUAC
This is a non-coding RNA of Triticum aestivum (bread wheat), 132 nucleotides long. The record is from Rfam. NCBI's taxonomy places the organism in Eukaryota, Viridiplantae, Streptophyta, Magnoliopsida, Poales, Poaceae.